CUUCACUUAAUGAGAUUUGAUGUGUGUGUGCAGCCUUAAUACUUCCCUCCAUGCAAAACAAUAAACACACUCACCAACCUCUGUACUCUCUACCCCACAUGCUCCAUUCUGUUCAACCCACAAGAAGCCACAGGUCUUCCUGUCACUAAAGCCUAUUGUGUGCUUUUAGAAUUUUGUAUGAACACAAUCAGAUUGGAGCUUCCAUUUGGCAACUCGUUCUCUGGUCUGAAGCACUUCCAUUAAUGUUCAUGGCAGGGUGGAGCCUGUGCUUUAGAGGAUCCCUCUUCUUCCAAUUGGUGUAGUUGGGGCUGUGGCUCCGUUGAAUGCUCCUUCAGGGGCAAGCAGGGCUGAGACUUCGGUGAUUGCUCCUCCUGUUGUAGAUGGGUCCAAGGCUCAGAUGGCCUCUCCUUCAGAUGCAGCACAUACAGGAACCAUCCUGUGCAUACUUCAAGGGAUGAAGUGGUCCAGGAAAGAUGACUAGCUUCGUUCAUUUGUCACAAGACCCACACUCAACACCCAAGACUCACAGCUUUCUCCUCUUGGAGGCUCCGUACCAGUGGUUCUCAACCUGCGUGCUCACAACAUAGGAAACAAUCAUUUGGAGUUGAUUUAUAUUCUGCAUGCCAGCAUCUUCUUGGGAGUGUGGAGGCUACUCUAGCUGUAGUACUUCCUGGCAUUCCUAAAGUUGGGGUUUCCAGUGAGGCAAGGAAACUUGAUGAAAACUCGCCUGUCAGAGGUCAGACAGAUCCUGAGCUAUUCUGUGACAUAACAACCUCAGUCAGGUCCUGGAAGUGAGACACUCUCAGGUCAAGUGCACGAGGGACAGCAGCCUGGACGGAUGUAGACUGGAGGGUGUAUGGCUGUCUGUCCCUUCCUACUGCUUGCCUGCGUCCCCACUCACACCAUUUACACUUCACUUACCACCAGAUAAGUGGUUCAUGUUGUGAUUACAGCAGUCAGGAAGCUGAGGCAGGGGGUUUGUGGUGAGUUUGAAGUCAGCCUGGGCUACAAAGCAGCGUGGGCUACCUAGCAAGACCUAAUUUUAAAAAUCUCUUUGUAGGUCUUUUAUUCCCCCAUUACCUCAUUCUUCGACUAAAAAAAAGAAAAUGGUGAUGUAGCUACAAGAACCCCGAUGGGAUCCCUGGACCUUACCAGUGCCAGCACAGGAGUUUUGAUAAAUGUAAAACCUCCUUAACCAGCAAGUAGCUCAAACAAGACGAAAAUCUCAAUGCCACAUAGAACAGCCCACUGUGUCCCUCUCUAGUUGCCACCCGCCUCCAUUCCAGAGCGGCUGCUCUGGUUUCAUCACCCAGGGCUCCAGAACUUGAUGGUUGUUUGUCUACCACAGCAUCUGUUCGCAUCCGGAUAAUCUCAAUCCACGCUAUGGUAUUUCAAGAGAUGCUUUCAUUUGUAUCCUUCCUUGGCAUUGGGUAGUCUCCGGUGUCACUUGCUGAACAGCCUGUCUCCCAUUCAUUUGCUCAGAACAGUUGUCCAAAAUCAUGCUCUUCAAGACACACAGGGGUGGGCCUAGGCCCUAUCCCAAAGGAGCCGAUAGACUCUGAUGAGCCCCUAUGGAAGGCCUCACCCUCCAGGGGGAGCAGAAAAGAUAUGUGACAGAUAAGGUUUUAUUUGGGGGUGGGGAUGGUAGGGGAGGAUGGGAGGGAGAAGGAAACUGG
Molecule: long non-coding RNA, 1676 nt
Filed under: Cricetulus griseus (Chinese hamster)
Lineage: Eukaryota; Metazoa; Chordata; Mammalia; Rodentia; Cricetidae
Description: lncRNA (ENSCGRG00015042616.1)
Source: RNAcentral